This 460-nucleotide ribosomal RNA is filed under the name uncultured bacterium. Its description in RNAcentral is "partial 16S ribosomal RNA". It matches the Rfam family "Bacterial small subunit ribosomal RNA", at positions 338 to 795 of the family's 1533-position model. The record is from RNAcentral.
CCUACGGGUGGCAGCAGUGAGGAAUAUUGGUCAAUGGACGAGAGUCUGAACCAGCCAAGUAGCGUGAAGGAUGACUGCCCUAUGGGUUGUAAACUUCUUUUAUAUGGGAAUAAAACGUUCCACGUGUGGGAUUUUGUAUGUACCAUAUGAAUAAGGAUCGGCUAACUCCGUGCCAGCAGCCGCGGUAAUACGGAGGAUCCGAGCGUUAUCCGGAUUUAUUGGGUUUAAAGGGAGCGUAGGUGGAUUGUUAAGUCAGUUGUGAAAGUUUGCGGCUCAACCGUAAAAUUGCAGUUGAAACUGGCAGUCUUGAGUACAGUAGAGGUGGGCGGAAUUCGUGGUGUAGCGGUGAAAUGCUUAGAUAUCACGAAGAACUCCGAUUGCGAAGGCAGUUCACUGGACUGCAACUGACACUGAGGCUCGAAAGUGUGGGUAUCAAACAGGAUUAGAUACCCUUGUAGUA